AGAGUUUGAUCAUGGCUCAGAUUGAACGCUGGCGGCAGGCCUAACACAUGCAAGUCGAGCGGUAGAGAGGUGCUUGCACCUCUUGAGAGCGGCGGACGGGUGAGUAAUGCCUAGGAAUCUGCCUGGUAGUGGGGGAUAACGCUCGGAAACGGACGCUAAUACCGCAUACGUCCUACGGGAGAAAGCAGGGGACCUUCGGGCCUUGCGCUAUCAGAUGAGCCUAGGUCGGAUUAGCUAGUUGGUGAGGUAAUGGCUCACCAAGGCGACGAUCCGUAACUGGUCUGAGAGGAUGAUCAGUCACACUGGAACUGAGACACGGUCCAGACUCCUACGGGAGGCAGCAGUGGGGAAUAUUGGACAAUGGGCGAAAGCCUGAUCCAGCCAUGCCGCGUGUGUGAAGAAGGUCUUCGGAUUGUAAAGCACUUUAAGUUGGGAGGAAGGGCAGUAACCUAAUACGUUGCGGUCUUGACGUUACCGACAGAAUAAGCACCGGCUAACUCUGUGCCAGCAGCCGCGGUAAUACAGAGGGUGCAAGCGUUAAUCGGAAUUACUGGGCGUAAAGCGCGCGUAGGUGGUUUGUUAAGUUGGAUGUGAAAUCCCCGGGCUCAACCUGGGAACUGCAUUCAAAACUGACAAGCUAGAGUAUGGUAGAGGGUGGUGGAAUUUCCUGUAGCGGUGAAAUGCGUAGAUAUAGGAAGGAACACCAGUGGCGAAGGCGACCACCUGGACUGAUACUGACACUGAGGUGCGAAAGCGUGGGGAGCAAACAGGAUUAGAUACCCUAGUAGUCC
RNAcentral lists this ribosomal RNA (791 nucleotides) under uncultured bacterium. Its description in RNAcentral is "bacterial SSU rRNA". It matches the Rfam family "Bacterial small subunit ribosomal RNA", at positions 8 to 796 of the family's 1533-position model. The record is from RNAcentral.